RNAcentral lists this ribosomal RNA (492 nucleotides) under uncultured bacterium. RNAcentral describes it as "partial 16S ribosomal RNA". It matches the Rfam family "Bacterial small subunit ribosomal RNA", at positions 29 to 507 of the family's 1533-position model. The record is from RNAcentral.
AGUGAACGCUGGCGGUAGGCCUAACACAUGCAAGUCGAACGGCAGCACAGUAAGAGCUUGCUCUUACGGGUGGCGAGUGGCGGACGGGUGAGGAAUACAUCGGAAUCUACUUUUUCGUGGGGGAUAACGUAGGGAAACUUACGCUAAUACCGCAUACGACCUACGGUUGAAAGCAGGGGAUCUUCGGACCUUGCGCGAUUGAAUGAGCCGAUGUCGGAUUAGCUAGUUGGCGGGGUAAAGGCCCACCAAGGCGACGAUCCGUAGCUGGUCUGAGAGGAUGAUCAGCCACACUGGAGCUGAGACACGGUCCAGACUCCUACGGGAGGCAGCAGUGGGGAAUAUUGGACAAUGGGCGCAAGCCUGAUCCAGCCAUACCGCGUGGGUGAAGAAGGCCUUCGGGUUGUAAAGCCCUUUUGUUGGGAAAGAAAAGCAGCAGGUUAAUACCCCGCUGUUCUGACGGUACCCAAAGAAUAAGCACCGGCUAACUUCGUG